UGAGGAAUAUUGGUCAAUGGGUGCAAGCCUGAACCAGCCAUCCCGCGUGAAGGACGACUGCCCUAUGGGUUGUAAACUUCUUUUGUAUAGGGAUAAACCUACCCUCGUGAGGGUAGCUGAAGGUACUAUACGAAUAAGCACCGGCUAACUCCGUGCCAGCAGCCGCGGUAAUACGGAGGGUGCAAGCGUUAUCCGGAUUUAUUGGGUUUAAAGGGUCCGUAGGCGGACUUAUAAGUCAGUGGUAAAGCCUGUCGCUUAACGAUAGAACUGCCAUUGAUACUGUAAGUCUUGAGUAUAUUUGAGGUAGCUGGAAUAAGUAGUGUAGCGGUGAAAUGCAUAGAUAUUACUUAGAACACCAAUUGCGAAGGCAGGUUACCAAGAUAUAACUGACGCUGAGGGACGAAAGCGUGGGGAGCGAACA
RNAcentral lists this ribosomal RNA (421 nucleotides) under uncultured bacterium. RNAcentral's name for it is "bacterial SSU rRNA". It matches the Rfam family "Bacterial small subunit ribosomal RNA", at positions 355 to 774 of the family's 1533-position model. The record is from RNAcentral.